Molecule: ribosomal RNA, 253 nt
Filed under: uncultured bacterium
Lineage: Bacteria
Description: partial 16S ribosomal RNA
Rfam family: Bacterial small subunit ribosomal RNA
Source: RNAcentral
UACGGAGGGUGCAAGCGUUAUCCGGAUUCACUGGGUUUAAAGGGUGCGUAGGAGGGCAGGUAAGUCAGUGGUGAAAUCCCCGAGCUUAACCUGGGAACUGCCGUUGAUACUAUCUGUCUUGAAUACCGUGGAGGUGAGCGGAAUAUGUCAUGUAGCGGUGAAAUGCUUAGAUAUGACAUAGAACACCAAUUGCGAAGGCAGCUCGCUACACGAAUAUUGACUCUGAGGCACGAAAGCGUGGGGAGCAAACAGG